CCCUGGUUAGUUGGAAUCCCACUCCUAAUGGUGGGAUGGGAUUUCAUGGAAAAGGGUAAAAUAUUAAAUGCUAACUAUGGCUACUCCAAUAUGCAUUUCAAGACAGAGCUUGGUAAUUUUAAUACAACAGACUGGAAAAUGAAAUAUACCUCCCUUCUCUUGACAAAGAGGAAGAGGUCCUAUCCCAAGAAGGCAGAAAUUACUGUGAUACAAAAAAUGGCA
Non-coding RNA from Phascolarctos cinereus (koala), 222 nucleotides. Lineage: Eukaryota; Metazoa; Chordata; Mammalia; Diprotodontia; Phascolarctidae. The record is from RefSeq and is a predicted model, not a curated record.